CCUACGGGAGGCAGCAGUGAGGAAUAUUGGUCAAUGGGCGUAAGCCUGAACCAGCCAAGUCGCGUGAGGGAUGAAGGUUCUAUGGAUCGUAAACCUCUUUUAUAAGGGAAUAAAGUGCGGGACGUGUCCCGUUUUGUAUGUACCUUAUGAAUAAGGAUCGGCUAACUCCGUGCCAGCAGCCGCGGUAAUACGGAGGAUCCGAGCGUUAUCCGGAUUUAUGGGGUUUAAGGGGUGCGUAGGCGGCCUUUUAAGUCAGCGGUGAAAGUCUGUGGCUGAACCAUAGAAUUGCCGUUGAAACUGGGAGUCUUGAGUAUGUUUGAGGCAGGCGGAAUGCGUGGUGUAGCGGUGAAAUGCUGAGAUAUCACGCAGAACCCCGAGUGCGAAGGCAGCCUGCCAAGCCAUGACUGACGCUGAUGCACGAAAGCGUGGGGAUCAAACAGGAUUAGAUACCCCAGUAGUC
RNAcentral lists this ribosomal RNA (460 nucleotides) under uncultured bacterium. Its description in RNAcentral is "partial 16S ribosomal RNA". It matches the Rfam family "Bacterial small subunit ribosomal RNA", at positions 338 to 795 of the family's 1533-position model. The record is from RNAcentral.